RNAcentral lists this transfer RNA (74 nucleotides) under Conexibacter arvalis. RNAcentral describes it as "Conexibacter sp. KV-962 tRNA". It matches the Rfam family "tRNA". From Rfam's summary of the family: Transfer RNA (tRNA) molecules are approximately 80 nucleotides in length. Their secondary structure includes four short double-helical elements and three loops (D, anti-codon, and T loops). Lineage: Bacteria; Bacillati; Actinomycetota; Thermoleophilia; Solirubrobacterales; Conexibacteraceae. The record is from Rfam by way of RNAcentral.
CGGGGCGUGGCGCAGCCUGGCAGCGCGCCUGCUUUGGGAGCAGGAGGUCCCGGGUUCGAAUCCCGGCGCCCCGA